AGGAGAAUAGUUAAUUAUAACAAUUAAAUUGCAAUUAAAAAUUACACUAAUAUGUUUCUCUUA
Molecule: transfer RNA, 63 nt
Filed under: Bambusiphaga citricolorata
Lineage: Eukaryota; Metazoa; Arthropoda; Insecta; Hemiptera; Delphacidae
Description: tRNA-Ala
Source: RNAcentral